RNAcentral lists this non-coding RNA (198 nucleotides) under Paenibacillus sp. The record is from RNAcentral. Lineage: Bacteria; Bacillati; Bacillota; Bacilli; Caryophanales; Paenibacillaceae. RNAcentral also lists the same sequence under 1 other name.
CCGAAUAUAGCGGAAAUAGGUGUUCCGGCCAAGAUUGGCCGGAGCUUAAAAGGGAAGUCCGGUGCAAUGCCGGCGCGGUCCCGCCACUGUAACGGAGGAGUCGGAUGUGUGAGAUGCCACUGGUGAUGUAAUCAUUGGGAAGGUCACAUCCGGCGAUGAUGCCGAAGCCAGGAGACCUGCCUAUUUCGACAGCACUGC